RNAcentral lists this ribosomal RNA (491 nucleotides) under uncultured bacterium. RNAcentral's name for it is "partial 16S ribosomal RNA". It matches the Rfam family "Bacterial small subunit ribosomal RNA", at positions 29 to 506 of the family's 1533-position model. The record is from RNAcentral.
AGUGAACGCUGGCGGUAGGCCUAACACAUGCAAGUCGAACGGCAGCACCGUAAGAGCUUGCUCUUACGGGUGGCGAGUGGCGGACGGGUGAGGAAUACAUCGGAAUCUACUUUUUCGUGGGGGAUCACGUAGGGAAACUUACGCUAAUACCGCAUACGACCUACGGGUGAAGGCAGGGGAUCUUCGGACCUUGCGCGAUUGAAUGAGCCGAUGUCGGAUUAGCUAGUUGGCGGGGUAAAGGCCCACCAAGGCGACGAUCCGUAGCUGGUCUGAGAGGAUGAUCAGGCACACUGGAACUGACACACGGCACAGACUCCUAGGGAAGGCAGCAGUGGGGAAUAUUGGCCAAUGGGCGCAAGCCUGAUCCAGCCAUGCCGCGUGGGUGAAGAAGGCCUUCGGGUUGUAAAGCCCUUUUGUUGGGAAAGAAAAGCAGCAGGUUAAUACAACGCUGUGCUGACGGUACCCAAAGAAUAAGCACCGGCUAACUUCGU